GAAAGCCAUUCUGCUGAUCCCUCCGGGUUCAAGUUCACUUGUUCCACACAGAGGUGGCUCAGAUGAGGAGUGGAAAGAGCCCUAGACUUGGAAACAAGAGAAUUUGGUUCAAAUCCUGCAUCCCAGGAACCUCUGCUCCCCAUGCACCGCUCUGCAUGCCCCAGGAACCUAGGAUGUCCUACUCAGUCUGGGGCUAAAAUUUCUGGAUCACUCAAGUGUAAGAUGUUUGGAUUUUGUUAUCUGAUCAAAUCUAACUUUUGGGAGCAGUUUUUUCUAUAAUUAAUUGUUCCAAAGGAUAAAAUUAUUAAA
Long non-coding RNA from Suricata suricatta (meerkat), 309 nucleotides. RefSeq lists it as uncharacterized. NCBI's taxonomy places the organism in Eukaryota, Metazoa, Chordata, Mammalia, Carnivora, Herpestidae. The transcript has 3 exons. The record is from RefSeq and is a predicted model, not a curated record.